Molecule: ribosomal RNA, 460 nt
Filed under: uncultured bacterium
Lineage: Bacteria
Description: partial 16S ribosomal RNA
Rfam family: Bacterial small subunit ribosomal RNA
Source: RNAcentral
CCUACGGGAGGCAGCAGUAAGGAAUAUUUGUCAAUGGACGGAAGUCUGAACCAGCCAUGCCGCGUGCAGGAAGACGGCUCUAUGAGUUGUAAACUGCUUUUGUACAAAGGUAAACCUGAAUACGUGUAUUCAGCUGAAAGUACUGUACGAAUAAGGCUCGGCGAAAUCCGUGACAGAAGCCGCGGUAAUACGGAGGAUCAAAGCGUUAUCGGGAUUGAUUGGGUUUAAAGGGUGGGUAGGCGGAUUGAUAAGUUAGAGGUGAAAUGUCCGGGGUUAAAUCGGGAACUGCCUGUAAUACGGUUGAUCUAGAGAGUAGAUGCGGUAGGCGGAAUGUAUGGUGUAGGGGUGAAAUGCUUAGAGAUCAUACAGAACACCGAUUGCGAAGGCAGGUUACCAAUAUAUAUCUGACGUUGAGGCACGAAAGCGUGGGGAGCAAACAGGAUUAGAUACCCUAGUAGUC